UUCAUGCAGCACUAUUUCUGUACAAUUUCCUCUUCUCUCCAUUAUUUUAGUAUAUUCAGCUUGUUUCAAAAGUGUCUCUGUAGCUUGCCUUAGCAGUUGUAGUGGGCAGUUGCAUCACCAGGGGGGCUUCUGGAUGAUCAGAUCUUUAUUUCCUCAAAGCUUUUCCAGGCAAGGAGCUGUAGAAGCAUGAGAAAAAGACUUCUUUGGUUUCAAAAGGUUUCCUGGGUCAUUGUAAAUUAAAGGCAAAAGUGAGGGUAAAGUGUGGAUAGACAACAAGCAAAGGUAGAGAAACUGCAAGAGUCAUACGAAAAACGUGAAGAAGGGAAAGAAAAACCUCUUCUCCCUCAUUUGUUCUUCACGCCAGUGCAUGCCCAUGUGCACCUCACAUUUCUGCAGUUAGAUGGAAUUGGAUGAUACAGUGGAAUUAAGCCUUUGAGAAUGACCCUGAGCUGCAGUAACACCUGGUAUAAAUGCCCCAGAAGUGCAUGCUGAUAAUGAGUUUACUGAGAAGGGUACAGACCUUGUGGGAAACCAGGAGCUUCCUCAGCUGAGCCUGACCUGGAAGAAAUAAAAGACAAACAUCACUGAGGAAGGAAAAGUAUCUCAAGCAGAGUAUCCUAGGCAGCUUUACCACAUUUAAUCAAAGAGACCGAUCCUGUUCACAAGGUGGAAAAUGCUUAUGAAAGAAGACACCUUUUCUGAACUCAGUGCUCUGGAGAGAAUUUAAGCCCCCAACACAAGAAGGCAGAAGGGAAGAAAGAAGUAUCAGUUGUAAAAGUGGGAAUGAGAAGAGGUGCAUAUGGAACCACAAGAAGAUAGUAUACUCAUAAUUUCAGGUUUUGCAAGGCAUUAAACAUUCAACAAAGAGACCUUGGAAUCUCUCCAAGGUGUUUUGUCAUCAGUUUUCUUGCAUUUUUUCUGCUUACCAGUGGGUCAUCAGAGCAUGGCACAGCACAUGGCACAUUUUGCAUCAACUGCAAGGAGAGGAUGAGAAAGAUUAGUACACAUUUGUGUUGAUGUAUAUGAGCAAGCAACAUACUGUACUGGUUUUGCUUGUGUGAUACCAAAUGUCCUAAGCAUGCCUGUUCUUGUUGGCUCAAUAAAGUUCCUGAGAAUAUCA
Ficedula albicollis (Collared flycatcher) is the source of this 1120-nucleotide long non-coding RNA. RefSeq lists it as uncharacterized. The transcript is spliced from 2 exons. The record is from RefSeq and is a predicted model, not a curated record. Lineage: Eukaryota; Metazoa; Chordata; Aves; Passeriformes; Muscicapidae.